RNAcentral lists this ribosomal RNA (207 nucleotides) under Triticum aestivum (bread wheat). RNAcentral's name for it is "partial small subunit ribosomal RNA". The record is from RNAcentral. Lineage: Eukaryota; Viridiplantae; Streptophyta; Magnoliopsida; Poales; Poaceae.
AUGCUCGUCCUCAACAUGGGUCACCCGGCGGCAGCCACAGAAUGCGAAGAUUGUCUGGGCGCCUGUGUUGCAAUUUGCAUCGCCUACGCUGAAACGACGUGCAGUGGCAUCUGCACAGUCAUAACUCCUGCAUGCCAGACAUGUAAGGACGCGGCCAUAAUUGAGUGUGGUGCAACAUGCUAUGGCGGUUGUACCCUAUUCUGCUAA